This 810-nucleotide ribosomal RNA is filed under the name Subramaniula fusispora. RNAcentral describes it as "LSU rRNA". It matches the Rfam family "Eukaryotic large subunit ribosomal RNA", at positions 93 to 937 of the family's 3401-position model. The record is from RNAcentral. Lineage: Eukaryota; Fungi; Ascomycota; Sordariomycetes; Sordariales; Chaetomiaceae.
GUGAAGCGGCAACAGCUCAAAUUUGAAAUCUGGCUUCGGCCCGAGUUGUAAUUUGCAGAGGAAGCUUUAGGCGCGGCACCAUCUGAGUCCCCUGGAACGGGGCGCCACAGAGGGUGAGAGCCCCGUAUAGAUGGACGCCUAGCCUGUGUAAAGCUCCUUCGACGAGUCGAGUAGUUUGGGAAUGCUGCUCAAAAUGGGAGGUAAAUUUCUUCUAAAGCUAAAUAUUGGCCAGAGACCGAUAGCGCACAAGUAGAGUGAUCGAAAGAUGAAAAGCACUUUGAAAAGAGGGUUAAAUAGCACGUGAAAUUGUUGAAAGGGAAGCGCUUGUGACCAGACUUGCGCCGGGCGGAUCAUCCGGUGUUCUCACCGGUGCACUCCGCCCGGCUCAGGCCAGCAUCGGUUCUCGUGGGGGGAUAAAGGCCCUGGGAACGUAGCUCCUCCGGGAGUGUUAUAGCCCAGGGUGUAAUGCCCUCGCGGGGACCGAGGUUCGCGCAUCUGCAAGGAUGCUGGCGUAAUGGUCAUCAGCGACCCGUCUUGAAACACGGACCAAGGAGUCAAGGUUUUGCGCGAGUGUUUGGGUGUAAAACCCGCACGCGUAAUGAAAGUGAACGUAGGUGAGAGCUUCGGCGCAUCAUCGACCGAUCCUGAUGUUUUCGGAUGGAUUUGAGUAGGAGCGUUAAGCCUUGGACCCGAAAGAUGGUGAACUAUGCUUGGAUAGGGUGAAGCCAGAGGAAACUCUGGUGGAGGCUCGCAGCGGUUCUGACGUGCAAAUCGAUCGUCAAAUCUGAGCAUGGGGCGAAAGACUAAUCG